This 234-nucleotide long non-coding RNA is filed under the name Capsicum annuum. Its description in RNAcentral is "long non-coding RNA (CANN_LNC017327)". The record is from RNAcentral. Lineage: Eukaryota; Viridiplantae; Streptophyta; Magnoliopsida; Solanales; Solanaceae.
AACAUAGCAUGAUAAGCCUAUGGAGUUGAGAAACUGGGGGGAAUACAAUCCUAGUAUUCACCAAUCUUGAUCACAACCAAAGUUAAUAUUUUCUCUUUAUUCAAUAUUGCCAUUCAAAUCCCCCCAUAUACUUUUCCAGUUUUGCUCAUUGAUUACAUCAUCUUAAAUCUACGAGUCCAUGUAUUCCCUUAGGAUUUGACCCCAACCUUUGUUGGGUUACUAUAUUUUGACAAC